AGUCAACAUUCAGUCAGAAGAAGGGACUCUAAAACCUGUAGAGGAAUCAGGGAUCCCCUUGGAUACAACUCUUGACCCUGAGAAUCUUCCUAAAAACGAGGACCCGGAGAUGGAUACGUCCCUAGAUAAUGAAGUGUUGGCUAUACUCAGCAAGGAUCUCCAAACUCCCACAGCUUGCCAAAGCACAAGGGCAUCCAGCUGGGACUCGUCAGGGAAGCUCCUGGAAAGCGAGCAGGACUCUAUUACCCCGUGAGUACUGCCAGCAGCACAGGAAGCCCCCUGAGACCAGCUAGUCGACGAUACGG
Long non-coding RNA from Coregonus clupeaformis (lake whitefish), 305 nucleotides. RefSeq lists it as uncharacterized. The record is from RefSeq and is a predicted model, not a curated record. Lineage: Eukaryota; Metazoa; Chordata; Actinopteri; Salmoniformes; Salmonidae. The transcript is spliced from 3 exons.